RNAcentral lists this ribosomal RNA (253 nucleotides) under uncultured bacterium. RNAcentral describes it as "partial 16S ribosomal RNA". It matches the Rfam family "Bacterial small subunit ribosomal RNA", at positions 524 to 776 of the family's 1533-position model. The record is from RNAcentral.
UACGUAGGGUGCAAGCGUUGUCCGGAAUCAUUGGGCGUAAAGCGCGUGUAGGCGGCCCGGUAAGUCCGCUGUGAAAGUCGGGGGCUCAACCCUCGAAAGCCGGUGGAUACUGUCGGGCUAGAGUGCGGGAGAGGCGAGUGGAAUUCCUGGUGUAGCGGUGAAAUGCGCAGAUAUCAGGAGGAACACCGAUUGCGAAGGCAGCUCGCUGGAACGUAACUGACGCUGAGACGCGAAAGCGUGGGGAGCAAACAGG